This 871-nucleotide long non-coding RNA is filed under the name Lynx pardinus (Iberian lynx). Lineage: Eukaryota; Metazoa; Chordata; Mammalia; Carnivora; Felidae. The record is from RNAcentral.
UUAACCCCCAAGCCUGCUCUCCCACAUUUGCUUCCUGUCCCAGGGAUUGGCACCCUUGCCAGGACCCCGGGCAUCUUCUGGACUUUUCUUUCCUCACUCACACAUUCAGACAAUGGCUGAAUCCUGUCAAAUGUACUAAGGUAGCCUCUCUUUUUCAUUUGCCUCUCUCUAUCCCAGUAGCUGUGUCCCAAAUUCCGACUCUCAGUUUUCUUGCCUCUCAUCUGGAAUUCUUCCAGUCAUUCUUCCACAAGGCCUCCGGCAUGAUAUCUAACCUUGUCAUUGCUUUUUAAAAAAACUCUUCAAUAACUCCCAUCGUCGAUAGGAGGAAAGUCCAACAUCCUUAUAUACAAAAGAGGGCUGUCUGCGGCCUGGCCUCUGCCCGCCUCACCCACCUUCCUGCUCAGGUAUGCCACCUCCUUCUCCUGCCCUCAUUCCACUUUUUGAACCUUGAAUUCUAUCCAUUCAAACUUGCCCUCCUUCCUGUAACCCACCAUGCUAGCACAUGCCUCUGGACUUGGUGCGCCUCUUUCCCCACCCAGGUUACGUCCCACUUACUUGAUAUCUUUUGAGAUUCAGCUCACCAGUUCCUGAGCCCCUUUCCUCCCCUCCUCCAGCAGUCCUGAUCCCUCCUUCUACCAUGACCCCACUCUACCUAGUGCCUCUUUCUAUCAGAGCAUGUACUAUACUUGGUCGCAGUAACAUGUCUUCAAAUCUCUAUUCUUUAAAAUGCUUCCAAGCUCGGUGAAGACAGGAAUGACGCAUCGCUCCGCCUUGCACGCAGCACAGUGCCUGUCCUGAAAUGGCAACUCAGAGGAGGCCACCACACCAAAGGACGACCUCUCUGUCUUGGCAAAUGAUCCUAUGGUCCACC